AAUUUAAAAAGACACAUUUAAAAAGUUCAUUAAUAUAUUUUCAACUAUCGUCUUUUCAUUAAAAUAACAUUUAUUAUACGUAGAACCGAGAACUGCGCGCUUCUAUGGGGACAGGGUGCCUGGAAUGACAGGGAGUGCAAAUCCCACGAACAUUUUAUCUGCAAACAGAAGGACAGCAGUGUUGUUGUUGGAUAGAGACAUGCGAUAUCGUUGUUCAGUUUUAAAUUCUCAAAUGAAUUACAGAUAUAGAUCUAUUGAUAAAAAUCUUACUCUUC
Long non-coding RNA from Mercenaria mercenaria, 275 nucleotides. RefSeq lists it as uncharacterized. Lineage: Eukaryota; Metazoa; Mollusca; Bivalvia; Venerida; Veneridae. The record is from RefSeq and is a predicted model, not a curated record. The transcript has 2 exons.